RNAcentral lists this ribosomal RNA (882 nucleotides) under uncultured Neocallimastigales. RNAcentral describes it as "partial large subunit ribosomal RNA". It matches the Rfam family "Eukaryotic large subunit ribosomal RNA", at positions 1 to 636 of the family's 3401-position model. The record is from RNAcentral. Lineage: Eukaryota; Fungi; Neocallimastigomycota; Neocallimastigomycetes; Neocallimastigales.
GUACACGCUGUGACUAGCAUAUCAAUAAGCGGAGGAAAAGGCGGCGGAGAGUAUUGGUGUGGGCGUACCUACGCUUAGGAUGUUGACACACGCGCGUGCUCGACUCUAUACAUGACUCUGCGCAUAUCAAUAAGCGGAGGAAAAGAAACUAACAAGGAUUCCCCUAGUAACGGCGAGUGAAGCGGGAAGAGCUCAAAUUUGAAAUCUUAAAGGGUUUCCCUUUACGAGUUGUAGUUUAAAGAAGUGUUUUCUGUUGAGGUUUUGGUAAAAGUUCUUUGGAAUAGGACAUCAUAGAGGGUGAGAAUCCCGUAUUUGACCUUUACUUUCAACUUUGUGAUACACUUUCAAAGAGUCGGAUUGUUUGGGAAUGCAGUCCAAAAUGGGUGGUAAAUUUCAUCUAAAGCUAAAUAUUGGCGAGAGACCGAUAGCGAACAAGUACCGUGAGGGAAAGAUGAAAAGAACUUUGAAAAGAGAGUUAAACAGUACGUGAAAUUAGUCAAAAGGGAAGCGUUUGACACCUAGUGUUGUUUUUCUGAAAAUCAAUUAAAGAACUGUUUAUGCUAAGCUGUUUAGACUUUAUCAGCUAUCUGUUUAGUUUUAGGCUUUUCUUUAAUUGCACUUUUCAGUUAACAAGUCAACAUCAAUUUCUUUUGCUGUAAAAAAGCUUGAGGAAGGUGGCUUGAGAUUCGUCUUAAGUGUUUAUAGCCUCUUGCCUAUGCAGUCGGAGAGAUUGAGGUCUGCAGCGUAGAUCCUUCGGGGCUAAAUGCAUUUGUGCUAAGUUAUAGCAUUUUAUAGACAACUUGUUGACUAUGAUUUGUCUUGUAGCUUACUCGCUUAUGUUAUUUUACCUACGCUUAGGAUGUUGAGUCGUAGAGCACGCAG